UUCCGAAAAUGUUUUUCUCUCCUAGUCCAGUAAGCUAACACGUCACUUCUCUUCUAUUCCAUUUGUGUCUGUUCCCUGGGUUUUUCUUUGUCCUAAUUCUUUCUCUGUGAUUUCGUUAUUCUCGGAAAUAUCGCCUCAUCUCAACCCUAGGAAGUAAAAUGCAUAGGGUAUGAGAUCUAUCUCCGUCGUCUCAGGCGUUGGUCCUUUACUGUCCAUUUGUAAUCGUUAUCUCUUUUCUGGUAUCAACUAAUUGACCAGCCAAAGUACUUGGAUCAUCAAUUAGAGUUUGAAUGAAGGCAUUUACCACUCUAUGCUCGUUUUCUUUGAUCUCAAGCUAAACCAACAUUGACGCAACGAUGACAAGUAUAAACGGUUAGGUGUGAUACCUGGGAAUAUCUUGUGAAAAAGAUACUAAAGGCGGGUUCCUUGAGAAAAUUAUUCUUUAACUGAUGAUCGAGCAACCAAAACUCAAAUAGAAUGCACUGGUGCUGAAGUGGUUUGCUUAAUUAAGAAAGUUGAGAUUACUUUUAUUGUACUUUUAGGAUGAUUUACUGGGAUGAGCACCAGUAGAGUUAAAUGUUUGCUGCCUUUUUUAGUCAAGAUUUGCUCCUUUAUAACAAAAAAAAAAAUUCAAAUGUAUUCUUGAGAAGACAAUUGACUUUGCUGAUUUUCUUUUUUCACGCAGUAGAAAAGAUCAUGGUUGCAAGAUCAGAUAUUCUUAGGAAUUGUGUGUGUCUCAAUUAAAUACUUGGCCAUUCAACUGAGCUGCAAUGUAUUAGAAAUUCACAGGCAAGAGAGAUGUUCUUCUCAUGAUUUUAAGUAAAGCACAAGCUCUUUCUAAUGUUGUAUGGGGUGCACGGGCCUCAGCAUGCUCUCGGGCCCGUGCAGAGCACGGGAGCCUACAUCUAGUUCUCAUUAUAAGCUAAUGUGCUUGUCCACCGAGAUUUUUAGAUACGAAUUUGGGAGGCUACAAUUACUUAAAACAUGGCAGAAACUUUGAGACAUGAAAUAUUUUCCAUCAUAGUUGAUGUUACUCAUAUUCACAUUUAAAUUUUUUUGUUGAAAUAUUCCAAAACAAGGAAAUAGUGAUCAAGCUAAAUAUUAUAUA
Non-coding RNA from Nicotiana tabacum (common tobacco), 1108 nucleotides. NCBI's taxonomy places the organism in Eukaryota, Viridiplantae, Streptophyta, Magnoliopsida, Solanales, Solanaceae. The record is from RefSeq and is a predicted model, not a curated record.